This 492-nucleotide ribosomal RNA is filed under the name uncultured bacterium. RNAcentral describes it as "partial 16S ribosomal RNA". It matches the Rfam family "Bacterial small subunit ribosomal RNA", at positions 29 to 507 of the family's 1533-position model. The record is from RNAcentral.
AGUGAACGCUGGCGGUAGGCCUAACACAUGCAAGUCGAACGGCAGCACAGUAAGAGCUUGCUCUUACGGGUUGCGAGUGGCGGACGGGUGAGGAAUACAUCGGAAUCUACUUUUUCGUGGGGGAUAACGUAGGGAAACUUACGCUAAUACCGCAUACGACCUACGGGUGAAAGCAGGGGAUCUUCGGACCUUGCGCGAUUGAAUGAGCCGAUGUCGGAUUAGCUAGUUGGCGGGGUAAAGGCCCACCAAGGCGACGAUCCGUAGCUGGUCUGAGAGGAUGAUCAGCCACCCUGGAAAUGGGACACGGUCCAGACUACUACGGGAGGCAGCAGGGGGGAAUAUUGGACAAUGGGCGCAAGCCUGAUCCAGCCAUACCGCGUGGGUGAAGAAGGCCUGCGGGUUGUAAAGACCUUUUGUUGGGAAAGAAAAGCAGCAGGUUAAUACCCAGCUGUUCUGACGGUACCCAAAGAAUAAGCACCGGCUAACUUCGUG